Molecule: unclassified non-coding RNA, 400 nt
Filed under: uncultured Actinomycetes bacterium
Lineage: Bacteria; Bacillati; Actinomycetota; Actinomycetes
Description: uncultured actinobacterium contains 16S-23S intergenic spacer region
Source: RNAcentral
UCCGGCUUGACGCCGGCAGUCCCCCGAGAGUCCUCAGCAUGACCUGUUAGUAACACGGGGCAAGGGUUGCGCUCGUUGCGGGACUUAACCCAACAUCUCACGAUAUGAGCCGGUGUGUCCACAGGAGAUUGCUCUCCUGGGGGCCAAUCGUCGAUUAGCCAUGCAACACCUGUGCUAGCCCCUUACGGACACGGGCUUUCACCCGCUUUAACUAGCAUGUCAAGCCUAGGUAAGGUUCUUCGCGUUGCAUCGAAUUAAGCCACAUGCUCCGCCGCUUGUGCGGGCCCCCGUCAAUUCCUUUGAGUUUUAGCCUUGCGGCCGUACUCCCCAGGCGGGGUGCUUAAUGCGUUAGCUUCGGCACGGAAAGGGUUGAAGGCCUCCCCACACCUAGCACCCAACG